AGUCUAGGGGGCCCAGCAAUGGGUCACCGGCGAACGGGUGCGUAACACGUAAGCGACCUACCCUAGGAUGGGGGAUAGCCGGCCCAACGGCCGGGUAAUACCGCAUACGCUCUUCGAACGUGAUGGUUUGAAGAGGAAACCUUUCGGGUCCUUGGAGGGGCUUGCGUCCUAUCAGCUAGUUGGUGAGGUAACGGCUCACCAAGGCUAUGACGGGUAGCUGGUCUGAGAGGAUGGCCAGCCACAUUGGGACUGAGAUACGGCCCAGACUCCUACGGGAGGCAGCAGUGGGGAAUCUUGCGCAAUGGCCGAAAGGCUGACGCAGCGACGCCGCGUGGAGGAUGAAGCCCUUCGGGGCGUAAACUCCUGUUGCCCGGGAAGAACCUCCCUUUUCGAGGGGACUGACGGUACCGGGUGAGGAAGCACCGGCUAACUCUGUGCCAGCAGCCGCGGUAAUACAGAGGGUGCGAGCGUUGUCCGGAAUCACUGGGCGUAAAGGGCGCGUAGGCGGCUUCUCAAGCGUGCGGUGAAAGCUCGGGGCUCAACCCCGAGUCGGCCGUGCGAACUGGGAAGCUGGAGCACGGUAGAGGCACAUGGAAUUCCGGGUGUAGCGGUGGAAUGCGUAGAGAUCCGGAGGAACACCGGUGGCGAAGGCGGUGUGCUGGGCCGUUGCUGACGCUGAUGCGCGACAGCGUGGGGAGCAAACAGGAUUAGAUACCCUGGUAGUCCACGCCGUAAACGAUGGGCACUAGGUCCUUGGGGGAGCGACCCCCUGAGGGCCGUCGCAAACGCAUUAAGUGCCCC
This 801-nucleotide ribosomal RNA is filed under the name uncultured Gemmatimonadota bacterium. RNAcentral describes it as "bacterial SSU rRNA". It matches the Rfam family "Bacterial small subunit ribosomal RNA", at positions 60 to 870 of the family's 1533-position model. The record is from RNAcentral. Lineage: Bacteria; Pseudomonadati; Gemmatimonadota.